Molecule: ribosomal RNA, 1490 nt
Filed under: Helicobacter pylori R036d
Lineage: Bacteria; Pseudomonadati; Campylobacterota; Epsilonproteobacteria; Campylobacterales; Helicobacteraceae
Description: bacterial SSU rRNA
Rfam family: Bacterial small subunit ribosomal RNA
Source: RNAcentral
GAGUUUGAUCCUGGCUCAGAGUGAACGCUGGCGGCGUGCCUAAUACAUGCAAGUCGAACGAUGAAGCUUCUAGCUUGCUAGAGUGCUGAUUAGUGGCGCACGGGUGAGUAACGCAUAGGUCAUGUGCCUCUUAGUUUGGGAUAGCCAUUGGAAACGAUGAUUAAUACCAGAUACUCCCUACGGGGGAAAGAUUUAUCGCUAAGAGAUCAGCCUAUGUCCUAUCAGCUUGUUGGUAAGGUAAUGGCUUACCAAGGCUAUGACGGGUAUCCGGCCUGAGAGGGUGAACGGACACACUGGAACUGAGACACGGUCCAGACUCCUACGGGAGGCAGCAGUAGGGAAUAUUGCUCAAUGGGGGAAACCCUGAAGCAGCAACGCCGCGUGGAGGAUGAAGGUUUUAGGAUUGUAAACUCCUUUUGUUAGAGAAGAUAAUGACGGUAUCUAACGAAUAAGCACCGGCUAACUCCGUGCCAGCAGCCGCGGUAAUACGGAGGGUGCAAGCGUUACUCGGAAUCACUGGGCGUAAAGAGCGCGUAGGCGGGAUAGUCAGUCAGGUGUGAAAUCCUAUGGCUUAACCAUAGAACUGCAUUUGAAACUACUAUUCUAGAGUGUGGGAGAGGUAGGUGGAAUUCUUGGUGUAGGGGUAAAAUCCGUAGAGAUCAAGAGGAAUACUCAUUGCGAAGGCGACCUGCUGGAACAUUACUGACGCUGAUUGCGCGAAAGCGUGGGGAGCAAACAGGAUUAGAUACCCUGGUAGUCCACGCCCUAAACGAUGGAUGCUAGUUGUUGGAGGGCUUAGUCUCUCCAGUAAUGCAGCUAACGCAUUAAGCAUCCCGCCUGGGGAGUACGGUCGCAAGAUUAAAACUCAAAGGAAUAGACGGGGACCCGCACAAGCGGUGGAGCAUGUGGUUUAAUUCGAAGAUACACGAAGAACCUUACCUAGGCUUGACAUUGAGAGAAUCCGCUAGAAAUAGUGGAGUGUCUGGCUUGCUAGACCUUGAAAACAGGUGCUGCACGGCUGUCGUCAGCUCGUGUCGUGAGAUGUUGGGUUAAGUCCCGCAACGAGCGCAACCCCCUUUCUUAGUUGCUAACAGGUUAUGCUGAGAACUCUAAGGAUACUGCCUCCGUAAGGAGGAGGAAGGUGGGGACGACGUCAAGUCAUCAUGGCCCUUACGCCUAGGGCUACACACGUGCUACAAUGGGGUGCACAAAGAGAAGCAAUACUGCGAAGUGGAGCCAAUCUUCAAAACAUCUCUCAGUUCGGAUUGUAGGCUGCAACUCGCCUGCAUGAAGCUGGAAUCGCUAGUAAUCGCAAAUCAGCCAUGUUGCGGUGAAUACGUUCCCGGGUCUUGUACUCACCGCCCGUCACACCAUGGGAGUUGUGUUUGCCUUAAGUCAGGAUGCUAAAUUGGCUACUGCCCACGGCACACACAGCGACUGGGGUGAAGUCGUAACAAGGUAACCGUAGGUGAACCUGCGGUUGGAUCACC